ACCCAAACCGCCAAUUACUGCUGCUGUUACAAAAAAAAAAAGGAACGUGAAAAAGCCCGAUCUGUAUAGAAUACACCACGUCGCCAAGAGACUUGUUACACCACUGGGCAAAUGAAAAAAUAGACCGAAAGGGGAAGCCGCCUUUUGUCGUACGGAUGUCGGCGUGUGAUGGCGAAGAAAUGCGGGAGUCGAACAGAGAAAUGUGCUAUUCCUGGCGGAUUUGGAACAAAUUGAUUCGAUGAACCCAUUGCCAUUUUCUGCCGUCUUUCGUCAUCGCAAUUGGGUGAUACAAGACGCUACUUAAGGUUCGGGCAAGACAGAACAUCCAGUAGGAAAGGACAAAUUAGUUUUCUUUUACCUGAUUGGCGGCUGGCUCCAGCUGCCGAGUCCUUUAAUAAUGACAAAACGCCGAGCGUGAUAGACGGCUGCCCACCGUUCAGCGCCUGACUGGCAAGAAGAACGCUCAAGUGGGUCAUACAUACGCAUAAACGUACCGGGUGUGAACGGUAUACAUCGUUGACAAGUUUUUUUCAAUCGUUCUGCCGUCAGCAACGUAUGAAAUGGGGAAAAAAGGAACUUAAUUGUCACUACGUCGAUCCCAGCUGGAACCACCAUUCUGAUAUUUGAUGACGAGCAUAGAAACAGGCACUACUGUACCAGCAACUCAUUAUUCCAAUUCGUUGAUUUGUAAACCGAAGGGGGAGGCAACUUCACAACGCACCAGCACCCUCAACACUUUCACCUGGGGUUUUGGACCCGUAUAUAAAAAUGAUGUCUACUCGCAUACUGCAGCCGACACAUUAGAAAGAAAACAAAAAAACCUUCGAGGAUUCAUCAACGAAACUUCACGCAUGAUUAUGGAAUGGGAAG
Molecule: long non-coding RNA, 870 nt
Organism: Daphnia carinata
Lineage: Eukaryota; Metazoa; Arthropoda; Branchiopoda; Diplostraca; Daphniidae
Exons: 4
Source: RefSeq, a predicted model, not a curated record